Molecule: ribosomal RNA, 252 nt
Filed under: uncultured bacterium
Lineage: Bacteria
Description: partial 16S ribosomal RNA
Rfam family: Bacterial small subunit ribosomal RNA
Source: RNAcentral
AUUGAACGCUGGCGGCAUGCCUAACACAUGCAAGUCGAACGGCAGCACAGUGUGUAGCAACACACAUGGGUGGCGAGUGGCGGACGGGUGCGUAAUGUGUAGGGAUCUGCCCUGAAGUGGGGGACAACCCGGGGAAACUCGGGCUAAUACCGCAUAAUACUCUACGGAGGAAAUCUGGCUGCGCAAGCAGCUGGUGCUUUAGGAUGAACCUACAUCCGAUUAGCUAGUUGGUGAGGUAAUGGCUCACCAAGG